Molecule: ribosomal RNA, 253 nt
Filed under: uncultured bacterium
Lineage: Bacteria
Description: partial 16S ribosomal RNA
Rfam family: Bacterial small subunit ribosomal RNA
Source: RNAcentral
UACAGGGGGGGCAAGCGUUGUUCGGAAUUACUGGGCGUAAAGGGUUCGUAGGUGGCUUACUAAGUCAAACGUGAAAUCCCUCAGCUUAACUGGGGAACUGCGUCUGAUACUGGAAAGCUUAAGUGCAGGAGAGGAACGCGGAAUUCCAGGUGUAGCGGUGAAAUGCGUAGAUAUCUGGAGGAACACCGGUGGCGAAGGCGGCGUUCUGGACUGCAACUGACACUGAGGAACGAAAGCCAGGGGAGCAAACGGG